RNAcentral lists this ribosomal RNA (368 nucleotides) under uncultured soil bacterium. RNAcentral describes it as "bacterial SSU rRNA". It matches the Rfam family "Bacterial small subunit ribosomal RNA", at positions 26 to 410 of the family's 1533-position model. The record is from RNAcentral.
AGAACGAACGCUGGCGGCAUGCCUAAUACAUGCAAGUCGAACGAACACUUCGGUGUUAGUGGCGCACGGGUGCGUAACGCGUGGGAAUCUGCCCUUGGGUUCGGAAUAACAGUUGGAAACGACUGCUAAUACCGGAUGAUAUCGAAAGAUCAAAGAUUUAUCGCCCAGGGAUGAGCCCGCGUAGGAUUAGCUAGUUGGUGAGGUAAAGGCUCACCAAGGCGACGAUCCUUAGCUGGUCUGAGAGGAUGAUCAGCCACACUGGGACUGACGACACCGGCCCAGACCUCCGUACGGGAGGCAGCAGGUAGGGUAAUAGUUGGACAAGUGGGACGCAACGCCUGAUCCAGACAAUCGCCGCGUGAGUGAGU